Molecule: transfer RNA, 73 nt
Filed under: Marmota monax (woodchuck)
Lineage: Eukaryota; Metazoa; Chordata; Mammalia; Rodentia; Sciuridae
Description: tRNA.Cys
Source: RNAcentral
GCUGGGAAUGUGGCUCAGUGGUAGAGCUUGCCUAGCAUGUGCAAGGCCCUGGGUUCUAUUCCUAUCCCCAGCA